Oncorhynchus kisutch (coho salmon) is the source of this 1415-nucleotide long non-coding RNA. RefSeq lists it as uncharacterized. The record is from RefSeq and is a predicted model, not a curated record. Lineage: Eukaryota; Metazoa; Chordata; Actinopteri; Salmoniformes; Salmonidae. The transcript is spliced from 4 exons.
UUAUGACAAGUAGCCUAUACAGCAUAUCCUGUCUACAGGCUUCCGUAAUGUUUCUCUGUCUCUGUGUUCAUUGUGGCUUUUUUUUUGUACUCUGUUCUACAGUAUGAAGUUAUAUGAUUACAGGAAAACAGGGGUUGUUCAUUUUCAUCCGUAGUUGACACUGAACGAGAACAAUCUACAGAAUCAUGUGCAAAUUUCCCCUUUGGUGUUCUAUAGUAUUGCUGUUAUUCCCAGUCCCUGCAAAUGCCAGGGUGUGGAUGAACCAGUGGUCCUCAAAGAAUGCUUACAUAGUAGGGGAAACAGCUGCUCUUAAUUGCAACAUAACCUCAGAUCAUGAGGAAAUAAGAAAUUGCAAAAUGAGAUGGAUCAUUGAAGAUCAAGGUGAUGUCACAAGUUUGGAGUUGUAUACGCAUCGUGUAAACAUGAAUUGGAGCAAAACAGCUACUACUAUGACAUUGAGAAACCUGACCUUGAGUGACACCAUUAUGCCAAUUUGCAUCGCAAAGUGCAUCAUUGACAGUGUCAACAGCAAGGUUUAUGGGGAGGGUGGCACACACAUUUUUGAAGACAUCAACCAGAUGACCCUGGUCUCAAAGUUGACAACACUGGUCCCAGAGUUGACAACACUGGUCCCAAAGGAAAUCAAACAGGAACAUGCUCUCACUUGGCCGAACCAUGUUUUUCUCAGCAUAAACAUCCUGAUUUUCAUUGUGGCCACAAUUAUUUGUGUGUCAUACAUCAGAACCCAAAUGAAUAUGAAUUAAAAAGGGAUUGCAUUAGUUGUUAAAAUAUUGCCUGAAGCACCCUUCCAAGUUAUAGCCUAAAGCCUAUGCUCUAACACCUUUAGUAAACUGUAAACUGUGAUUUGAAAUGUUAUUACUCUAAUGUAUAGAAUGUAUGCCUACUGAUAUAGUUUUUACUGUCUUGUAUUAUUAUCUGAAAACAAACUAGGUAAAGGUGAAAGGUGACAAGCAUCUGGUAAAUGCAUUCCAGAUUAGAGUGAGCAAAAGACUACAUUUGAUUUACUUUCCUUUAGUAUCCAUGUGGACAUUUUGAAUACAGUUGACAUAUAUUAAUUUAAUCGUGUAUCCUAAUCAUAAUCAUUGCUAUUGAUAGAAUAUAGAUUAAAGUUGAUAAAGUUUAGACUAUUUUUCACGUCUGCUCCUGCUCUUCCCCCCCCAGGUGCUUGAGGGUGCCAGGCUGCCCUGCAUCACUCACUCCUAUCAUCCACUACGCACACCUGCCUUUCCUUGUCAAGUGCUUCAGCUAUAUUGGACUCACUUAUCUGUUUAUUACCUCGCCUAUAUUUGUCAGUUUCCCUGCUGAUGCAUUGAUUGUUUUUUGUCUGUAUUAUUAGUUUACUGAUGCUGUUCCUGUCUCAUGUCCGUUCUUUAUUAAAUGUUUGACUCCCCGUA